GAUGAAGAACGCAGUGAAAUGCGAUAAGUAAUGUGAAUUGCAGAAUUCAGUGAAUCAUCGAAUCUUUGAACGCACAUUGCGCCCGUCAGUAUUCUGGCGGGCAUGCCUGUUCGAGCGUCAUUACGCCCCUCAAGUCCCCUGUGGACUUGGUGUUGGGGAUCGGCGAGGCUGGUUUUCCAGCACAGCCGUCCCUUAAAUUAAUUGGCGGUCUCGCCGUGGCCCUCCUCUGCGCAGUAGUAAAACACUCGCAACAGGAGCCCGGCGCGGUCCACUGCCGUAAAACCCCCCAACUUUUUAUAGUUGACCUCGAAUCAGGUAGGACUACCCGCUGAACUUAAGCAUAUCAAUAACGGAGGA
RNAcentral lists this unclassified non-coding RNA (357 nucleotides) under soil metagenome. RNAcentral describes it as "partial contains 5.8S ribosomal RNA, internal transcribed spacer 2, and large subunit ribosomal RNA". The stretch from base 1 to 120 matches the Rfam family "5.8S ribosomal RNA", at positions 35 to 154 of the family's 154-position model. The record is from RNAcentral.